This 74-nucleotide transfer RNA is filed under the name Herbaspirillum sp. WKF16. RNAcentral describes it as "tRNA-Gly". It matches the Rfam family "tRNA". From Rfam's summary of the family: Transfer RNA (tRNA) molecules are approximately 80 nucleotides in length. Their secondary structure includes four short double-helical elements and three loops (D, anti-codon, and T loops). The record is from RNAcentral. Lineage: Bacteria; Pseudomonadati; Pseudomonadota; Betaproteobacteria; Burkholderiales; Oxalobacteraceae.
GCGUCCGUAGCUCAGUGGCAGAGCGGCGGCCUUCCAAGCCAAAGACCAGGGUUCGAUUCCCUGUGGACGCUCCA